AUGGCCAGGGUGUGGUUUCCCAAGAUUGCGGCUCCACACCCUGGGCGUCCGCAGCAGCUCCGCCCAUGCCGGUGGAAGGACGGUGCCCCGCCUCGCGCUCGGAAGGACCCCACGUCUGGAAAAAAUCGGACUGUGCAGUUCGCCCCUGAGAGCGGCGAGGUGGGACAUCAUCCACGGUGCCCCCGAGUGGCUGCCACCAAGAUCAACCAUCGAGGUGGCUGCCCCACAUACUCGACGCUCCAACACCUCAAGCAGGAGCUAGGCGAGCCGCUUCGGGACUAUGUCCGGCGUUUUCGGCGAGUGGAGGACAAGAUUGAAGGGCUCCCUGCUUCCAUCAUCACGGUUUUCUACCUCAGUGCUCGCAAUCCUCGGGUCUGCGAGGCGAUGGUGGCUUGUUGGGUGCAUACUGUGGUAGAGCUAUAUGCUCUUGCUCACAAAUGA
Molecule: ribosomal RNA, 441 nt
Filed under: Triticum aestivum (bread wheat)
Lineage: Eukaryota; Viridiplantae; Streptophyta; Magnoliopsida; Poales; Poaceae
Description: partial small subunit ribosomal RNA
Source: RNAcentral